GACGAACGCUGGCGGCGUGCCUAAUACAUGCAAGUCGAACGCACUCUCGUUUAGAUUGAAGGAGCUUGCUCCUGAUUGAUAAACAUUUGAGUGAGUGGCGGACGGGUGAGUAACACGUGGGUAACCUGCCCUAAAGUGGGGGAUAACAUUUGGAAACAGAUGCUAAUACCGCAUAAAACCUAACACCGCAUGGUGUAGGGUUGAAAGAUGGUUUCGGCUAUCACUUUAGGAUGGACCCGCGGUGCAUUAGUUAGUUGGUGAGGUAAAGGCUCACCAAGACCGUGAUGCAUAGCCGACCUGAGAGGGUAAUCGGCCACACUGGGACUGAGACACGGCCCAGACUCCUACGGGAGGCAGCAGUAGGGAAUCUUCCACAAUGGACGAAAGUCUGAUGGAGCAACGCCGCGUGAGUGAAGAAGUUUUCGGAUCGUAAAACUCUGUUGUUGGAGAAGAAUGUAUCUGAUAGUAACUGAUCAGGUAGUGACGGUAUCCAACCAGAAAGCCACGG
RNAcentral lists this ribosomal RNA (508 nucleotides) under uncultured bacterium. RNAcentral describes it as "bacterial SSU rRNA". It matches the Rfam family "Bacterial small subunit ribosomal RNA", at positions 28 to 496 of the family's 1533-position model. The record is from RNAcentral.